CGUAGGCGGCUCGGCACGUCCGUUGUGAAAUCGCCCGGCUCAACUGGGCGGGGUCAGCGGAUACGGUCGAGCUUGAGCAAGCUAGGGGGCAAUGGAAUUCCCGGUGUAGUGGUGGAAUGCGUAGAUAUCGGGAGGAACACCAGUGGCGAAGGCGGUUGUCUGGGCUUUGCUGACGCUGAGGCGCGAAAGCGUGGGGAGCGAUCCGGAUUAGAUACCCGGGUAGUCCACGCCGUAAACGAUGUCGACUAGAUGUCGGGGGUAUCGACCCCCUCGGCGCCGCAGCUACGCAUUAAGUCGACCGCCUGGGGACUACGGCCGCAAGGCUAAA
Molecule: ribosomal RNA, 328 nt
Filed under: uncultured bacterium
Lineage: Bacteria
Description: bacterial SSU rRNA
Rfam family: Bacterial small subunit ribosomal RNA
Source: RNAcentral